This is a regulatory RNA element of 168 nucleotides. It matches the Rfam family "Ribosomal protein L10 leader". From Rfam's summary of the family: This family is a putative r-protein leader autoregulatory structure found in B. subtilis and other low-GC Gram-positive bacteria. It is located in the 5' untranslated regions of mRNAs encoding ribosomal proteins L10 and L12 (rplJ-rplL). The record is from Rfam.
AAUUAAAUAGCACAGUAGCCGGAGACAGUAGGUGUCCUAACAGGGCUUAAUUUCCUACCUAGGUUUGCGUUAUCGUUCCCCUUGUGCUGAUCUUGUCAUGAGUUGACAAGAUUGCCAUCGGGAUCUGACAAAACCCCGGCUGCCCUGCUGGGGUUUUUGAUUGGGUCG